RNAcentral lists this ribosomal RNA (426 nucleotides) under uncultured Rhodocyclaceae bacterium. Its description in RNAcentral is "bacterial SSU rRNA". It matches the Rfam family "Bacterial small subunit ribosomal RNA", at positions 356 to 774 of the family's 1533-position model. The record is from RNAcentral. Lineage: Bacteria; Pseudomonadati; Pseudomonadota; Betaproteobacteria; Rhodocyclales; Rhodocyclaceae.
GGGGAAUUUUGGACAAUGGGGGCAACCCUGAUCCAGCCAUGCCGCGUGAGUGUAGAAGGCCUUCGGGUUGUAAAGCUCUUUCGGCCGGAAAGAAAUCGUUCAGGCUAAUACCCUGUAUGGGUGACGGUACCGGAAUAAGAAGCACCGGCUAACUACGUGCCAGCAGCCGCGGUAAUACGUAGGGUGCGAGCGUUAAUCGGAAUUACUGGGCGUAAAGCGUGCGCAGGCGGUUGAUUAAGACAGGCGUGAAAUCCCCGGGCUUAACCUGGGAACUUGGUGUGUGAGGGGUCGGCUAGAGUACGGCAGAGGGGGGUGGAAUUCCACGUGUAGCAGAGAAAUGCGUAGAGAUGUGGAGGAACACCGAUGGCGAAGGCAGCCCCCUGGGCCGAUACUGACGCUCAUGCACGAAAGCGUGGGUAGCAAACA